This 253-nucleotide ribosomal RNA is filed under the name uncultured bacterium. Its description in RNAcentral is "partial 16S ribosomal RNA". It matches the Rfam family "Bacterial small subunit ribosomal RNA", at positions 524 to 776 of the family's 1533-position model. The record is from RNAcentral.
UACAGAGGUCUCAAGCGUUGUUCGGAUUCAUUGGGCGUAAAGGGUGCGUAGGUGGCGCGGUAAGUCGGGUGUGAAAUCGCCCGGCUCAACUGGGCGGGGUCGGCGGAUACGGCCGAGCUGGAGCAAGCUAGGGGGUAAUGGAAUUCCCGGUGUAGUGGUGGAAUGCGUAGAUAUCGGGAGGAACACCAGUGGCGAAGGCGACUUCCUGGCCUGUUCUUGACGCUGAGGCGCGAAAGCUAGGGGAGCAAACGGG